CCUACGGGAGGCAGCAGUGAGGAAUAUUGGUCAAUGGCCGGAAGGCUGAACCAGCCAUGCCGCGUGAAGGUCAGUGCCCUAUGGGCGUUAAACUUCUUUUGUGCGGGAGCAAUAAUGGUCACGUGUGGCCAGACGAGAGUACCGUACGAAUAAGCAUCGGCUCACUCCGUGCCAGCAGCCGCGGUAAUACGGGGGAUGCAAGCGUUAUCCGGAUUUAUUGGGUUUAAAGGGUGCGUAGGCUGUGAGGUAAGUCAGCGGUGAAAUGCCCCCGCUCAACGGGGUGAAGUGCCAUUGAUACUGGCUGGCUGGAAUGCGGAUGCCGUGGGAGGAAUGUGUGGUGUAGCGGUGAAAUGCAUAGAUAUCACACAGAACACCGAUUGCGAAGGCAUCUCACGAAUCCGCGAUUGACGCUGAUGUACGAAAGCGUGGGUAUCAAACAGGAUUAGAUACCCGAGUAGUC
RNAcentral lists this ribosomal RNA (460 nucleotides) under uncultured bacterium. RNAcentral's name for it is "partial 16S ribosomal RNA". It matches the Rfam family "Bacterial small subunit ribosomal RNA", at positions 338 to 795 of the family's 1533-position model. The record is from RNAcentral.